RNAcentral lists this long non-coding RNA (1555 nucleotides) under Pelobates cultripes (western spadefoot toad). Lineage: Eukaryota; Metazoa; Chordata; Amphibia; Anura; Pelobatidae. The record is from RNAcentral.
GUUGGGGUCACUAUGACCCCCAUAUUAAUAAAAUGGAGGUUAAAUCCUCCCACAUGCCCCUACUUGUGGGAGGAUUUAACCUCCCUUUUAUUAAUAUGGUGGGACCUAGCGGCGGGUGGGGACCUUAAUUAAAUAAAUAAUGUUGGGGACCUAAUGUCCCCCCAGGUCCCCACCUGGUCCCAUAGAAAUGGGAAGGUAUAUUAUCAGAUAGGUCAAAUGGUUUAUGUUCUUGUCCGGAACUGACGUUUCAUCCUUUGGUGCCAAUUGUGCCCUAGUGGCUGCCGCUUUCAAAAUAACUUUGGUCAGGGUGCAUCUGGAAGAUAUCAUGCAUUCAGCAGACUGUUUCAGGGAGUCAAUGUUUAGGGAAUUCUACUUUAACCCAAUCUGCAGUGCUUGCUCAGCUUUAAAUUUGCACUAUAUGAGCCUCCGUGUCUUAAAAUAAAAUUACAUGAUUUAGCUAUUUUGUGAUGGAAAAUCAUGAUUUUAUGAAAGACAAGGAGGUGAGUAUUGUCCUUUCUCUGCUUGUGUCUCUUGUCUUUGUCUCCCUCCCUUCUUGUUAGUUUGUUAUUGCUGGUUGUGUGGGAGAGGUUUUCACAAUGUGUCCUUGCAGUUUUACUGGAGCUGUAACUGCAUUUUGGCUCAUUCAUAUUUGCACGUUACUGUUAGUUUGCUUCUGGUGCCUGUUGCUCUGCUUUGGGUAUCCACUCUAUGGCUUGCUAUGUGCCUGUACACUAGGAUGCCUUUUUAUCUGUGCCAGUUCUUGAUGAUUAACUUUUAUUGUUUUCUCUCUCUCAGGUGUACUCAUUGGACCAAGUUUGUUUUCAAGUGUCUGGCUUCCUAUUUGAGCCUAGACCUAUGUUUUUUCCCUCAUCUUGCUCCUGUGAUUUGUUUUCUUAUUUUGUUCAGCGGGGACUCUUUGUUUUCUCCUGCUGCUCUUAAUUGUAUGGUUUGAAUUUGCUUCUGUUCAAAAAGAAAGGAGUUGUUUUUUGGGGUAUUAAAGCUUAAAUGGACUAGGGUCAAGGGGAGGGGUGUAUUUUUCUCUAUUUUGUCAAUGUUUUUUCUUUGCUUCUAUUGUAGUAAAGAAAGAGUUAAUGCACAUUACUCGCCUCCAUGUCUUUUAUAAAAUCAUGACUUUCUGUCAUGAAAUAGCAGAAUCAUGUAAUUAAGCCUCAGAGAAAAAGAUGUGGGUGCUGUUUUUCUGCCACACACUGCUCUGUUUCGAAUUGUUUUUAUCACUAGCAAAAUCUUUCGAAAAGAAUGUUUCAUUGUAAACUCCGUGCAAUGAGUAAAAGAUGUAAAAAAGCAAAAUGUAUACAUUUCAUACACUUUAUGUAGAUUGUUACACAAUACUUAAAAGAUUUCUCCAACAAAAAACAACAACAAACAUUAAUCCUGUUUUUCAGUUGUUUUAACCCUUAUAGUUAUAGUCCUUCCACUUUUAAAUUAAAAAUAAAAGAAGUCAAAAACUCACUUUCAAUAAUGUGCUGAAAACAGGUUGUUCCUGUUGCCUGCUGUGCCUUUACUUAUAUCAUCCUUCUCAGUUUGCAGUCCAAUG